AAAAAUGGCCACCGCACAUGCUCAAAUGGUGUCUGCAAGACCCAAGUUUAGAUUUUUCCCUGAUCUAGGGAGUCGGAAGAAUGCAAAUUUGUUGGCAAGGGACCCGAGCAUUUAAAAAACAGAUAUAAAUGGCACAAAACCUGACAAUCUGGAGAAGUGUGGCAGGGUCAAGCUUCCACUCAUGAGAGGAUGAGGGAAUCCUGCUGAGACGGUCUGCCCAGAUAUUAGAGCUGCCUUGUAUAUUAAUUGCAGACAGACGAUGAAAAACUGAGGUGGCAAGAGACUGUCAGGUGGGUGCUGCUGGAGAGGAACUACCAAUCAGGAGUGAGCAAAAAGGUAGCUUGCAGUCUCCCAACUAGGCCUUCACUCCCCGGCUGAAGCCCAUUUGUGUGAUGGAGAGAGACCACCCAAAAGAAGUUAAGCAACUUGAAAGCUUCAAUCCUCCUACCAAAGAAGAUGAACCUAGUUCUGGAGGAACAGUCCCUAAUAUUCCAGGGAAUGUCAGUUUAUAGCUUUCUAAGGCCAAAAGAGGGAACACUGCCAGAGACAACUGUAUUCCUGUCCUGAGAAUUUGGGGAAAAAGAGAGCAUUAGUUAAAGCUAACACAAAAUAUAAAAUAAAAUAAUAAUAAAUGGUGGAAAUACCAUGCCUUAAGUGUAAUAUCAAUAGAAUCUGUAUAACUGAAGUAAAAAUAAACACAUCAGGUGGUAUUCUAAGUUUCCUAGCAAAUGAGCAGAAAUUCUGUUCACACGAAGGGGAGGACAAUGCUUCUCUUUUCCCACUCCCCCAUUUCUGCUGCAGCUUCCCAUGCCAUAUGCCAUCUUGCUCUGCCAAUCCUUGGGAGCAAAUUUUGGGGGGGUGUCAUAGCAAAGGGGAGAUUGGUGAAUACAACCCUUAGAAUUCAACCACUGUAGUAUUUUCUGCUUUGCAUAACAUCUAAUAGGUGCAAGUACUUGCUUUUUCUUACUUAAAUUAAGUAAAAAUAAACUGUUAAAUUAGUAAUACUUAAAACAAAUUUAGGUAUUCUACAUGUUGGUAAAGUGCAAGACUUUACCAACAUGUAAAAGUGCAAGACUUUUGUUCUUAUACUUUCUGUACGAAGUUACAUGCACACAAGUCCCAUCCAGAUUCAUGGGACUUGCAUAUAUCUAUGAGAAGGAUUAUUACACCUCUAAUCUAAUGUGAUCUCCUUUCUAUUCAAGUACUUACACACACAAACCUUUCUUUAGUAUAAAUGCAAGUAUAACAUGCAGAACAUUGUUAAAAAGUGGAUGUUCCCCAAAAUUUCCAUACAUUUUACUUAAAGCUGAAAGUUUAACAAUUUACAAACAUUCAAGUUGUCAAACUGCAUUUCAGAAAUGUAUUUACCUUCUACUAAAUUUCACUACUGUAUUUACUUUUAUAAGGGAUAAGUUGCCCUUCAGAAGUUCAAUACACAACUAAGCAUUAUACACAGUAGGCAUCUUAAUGUUUUAUUCAUUGCAUUCUGCAUACAGAUAAGCUUCGCUGAUAUUUAAUUCACUGUAGCAUUCUGUAGGUGGUGUGACAAGAGUACAUGAAUUAUAAACAACCAACUUAAAAAAGUAUAUAUAUUCAGCUGAUAGAGCAUCACAGUUACUGUAAAAAAUGAAAUCACAAUGGAAGCUAAGGCCUAUUUUUUAAAAAAGUUUUCCAAUUAGCUCACUUUACAGUUUUAAAGAGAUUAGAAACUAAACUCCAGUACCGCAAAAAAUAAACAAGUCAAUGGUAAUUUCUAGCAACCAUUAUUCAAGUAAUGCAGAAAAAAAUAUGUUGUGGAAAAUUGGUGCUCUUCAUUAAAAGAUGUAUAUCUAUUUACACUAUAUUAAAAUCCUUAAAGUUAGAGUGCAAUGUAAAAAUAAUCUGUAAAACAUCAUUUAAUAUAAAAUGCCACUUAAAUGUUUAUAUGUGGGACUAAAUACACUCAUAAGAUGCUCAAAUACUCAUUACACACACAAAAGCACAAUCCUAAGCAUAGUUAUUGAGAAACAAGUCCCACUAACUUCAGCUCCCUAGUAACUGUGCUCAGGAUUGGAGCCUAAGGCUACAAUCCAUCUCACUGAUCUCAAUGGGACUUAGUAAGCACAAUUGUGCCUGGGACUGCAGUCUAAGCUGUACAUAUGAGGAACACACAAAAUAUAUCAAAAGUCAGUAUGAAGGAUGUAACAGUCAAAUGGACAAUUGUUGAGCACUGUUCACAUUACUGUAAAAUGGACUGAAUUCACAACAUUAACCAUUUUCCUUGGCUUGAAAGUUUAUAAAAGCAAGCUAUAAGGGACUACUCCUUUAGCCAACAAAAAUGAACCAAACUGCUAUGUAUGUAGUAAUUCCAUGUAGGCCUGCUUUUUAUACCAUGUAUAUCAUUAAGAUUAUAAGGCUGUUUAACCCUGCAAAUACCAUGUAUAUCUGAUGUUCCUCCUGUUUUCAAUUAGCAACCCCUACCAACUGUUUUUAAAUGGGAAAGGGGUACAUGUAUGUGAAGCAAACAUGACAGGUACAAAAAUGUGUGCUGCUAAGAGUCUUGUGGGUAACAUUGACAGCACUUCAAUUCUGAUGUAAAGGUCACAGAAGGAACAACAAGUAGGUGACACAAAUGUUUACUUAGAUGUUAAUGAGGUUUGCAGCCUACAUACAUGAUCCACUGGGAACACAGUCCACUUGGUAGCUUCAAGUAACAGCAGAAAGUGUGAAAGCUGUUUGUGGUUAUGGGAUAUGCCUAUGGGACACAGGCAUACUUACGCAAUGCUGCAUACAAAAAGAGUACCAAGAUGAACACUGCCUUGGUGGAUCAUGCCCUAGGCCAACUAAAAGAGCAGCAUUUUAACAACUUAUGGAUAAACUAAAUUUCAGGUUGUUACAAAUAGUUGUCUAAAACAACCUGGAAACAAAUUCUGGGAACCUAUCUGUAUAGGUAGAAGAGUUUAACACCUCAUUUAACUAAAAUUACACUAGUUUACAAAGAGACAGAAUUCUAAAUGGAAAAACUAUGUCCACUCAGUUAAGACAAAUUCUUCAAAUGGAUAUGACUGAAAAAUUUAAGCCUACUUGCAAUAGAAAUAAGCUUUUUCUGUACAGUUUGAUGCUUUUGUCUAUACCAUCUAUAGUAGAAAAAUAAAUUCUUUAGCAACCUAGAAACAGUUUAUAAAAACUCUUGAAGAUUAAUUGUUUUUCUUAACAUGCCUAUGUUAAACUGAUGACUAUAAAUAAAAGCUAUUUCAACAACAGAUGUAAGGUAAAACAGGUUAAUGCUACUACUUUUACAGGACAAAAUCUUUAUUAUUUUUAUAUCCUGUGUGCUUUCAAUUGGAAUAGGGGUUGUUUUUUGGUUUUUGGGGUGUGUUUUUUUAGAAAAGAUAAUUACUUGCAAGAAUAUAACACAAAUAUCAAGAUAAUUUAUAAUAUACAAAUACUUCAACAGCAGCUUGGGUUAUGGUAUUUUAACUAGAAUUGUAAUCCAUGUCAUUAGAAGUACAAUACCUAGGACAUAACAAUUGAAAAAGGCAAUUUUUAUUUUAGAGAAAGCUCUUAAGAACCUUAAUUCUUAAUCUUUGCAAAUCAAGCUAUUAAGAAUGUUAAUAAUUAAAAAUGUUCUACUUGCUAUAAUAGGUUAAAAAAAGUAUGAAGAUUACAAUCAUGAUCAUAAAGUUUUUUAAUCUACUCAAGAUAUCCCAGCAGCUGAAUAAACCAGUUUCUUUUUAAAAAAAGAAAGAUAUUUUGAAUAUUGGGGUGGGGGGGAGAGAAAGCAAGGGAAAUUCAAAUAUUGUUAGGCUCCACCCAAAUCUGAUUCACAAUUUUAGCCUUCUAGCACAUUUAACAAAGAUUAACCAAGAAUGGUUUAAAAUUAAGCAGCAUUCUUUUACAGCAAAACUUGUACCAAUGUAAAAGAAAAAUUUUUUUUUAAAUGGUGCAAACACAAUCAUUUUGAAUUUUAGUACAAUAGAGCACAGAAAAAAACCCACAUGAAUACAAAUGUCCUUUUAUGUACACAUUAAGAUGCUCAGUACCCAAAGUAUUUAUUGCUAUGUAUUAGCAAUGCUUUUUUUAUACUGUAAAGGGCCACAGAAAAAUAUAUCAUGUGUUAAAUUUAAGUCAUAGAUUGUUUGGUUUAGAUAGUUUACGCUACAACAAAAUUCUCAUUUAUGAAAAGUUAUAUAACCUUAUAUGAAAAUGUCAAACUAUUUUCUACAUACUAGAUGAAUUCCCCAGUGGGGAAAAAAUUAAGAUAUCUAAAAUAUAUUAGAUUAGGUUUACAAGACCAUCAAUGAUCUUUCAAACAUGCAACUGUUUACAGAAUUAACAGUAUUACAAAUUGUUUCAUUCUUGAAUGCAAAGUAAGGGGAAAGUAGAUAAGAGCAACAUUUUUGACAAUGGUUAAAGUCACUUUUACAAUAAGCAUGUCCUUGGUAUUGUGCUGUAAGAAAAAAUAAUUUGAUUAAUCCCUCAAACAAAAAUGUCCACAAGUUUAUUUAAGAGAAAUGGAAGGUGGGGAAUUGUAUUUAUAACAGUGCAGUUUAUGUUCUCUCUGAAACUAAGCAUACUGUAGCAUAAGUAGCUUGGAGUUUACAAAUAAGAUACAGUUGUUUUUCAGCUGCCCACAGCAAAUGACUAAAUUGGAAUGAAAUUGCCAGAAAAAAAGGAUAUUAAAUAACAAAAACAGCCCUAAAGCAGGCUGUAAGCAUUGAAUGUUACAUAAAAUGAUUUAUUUAAUCAUUACAUUUCUAUAGAAAAAUUUUAUUCACAAUAUAUUGUGACAAAUUGUCACAGGAAUGAUAGUGAUUGCAAUAAAUGUUCAUGCAACAGCAGCUUUGCACUUUAGUUUUGUUUAAAAAAAUUAAACCUCUCCAGUCAUGCUAAUAACAUAAUUUUAACCUGCAGUAUUUAUGGUGUAUAGUAUGACUACAACAAAAAUGUCCUUGUUUGGAUCCAAAUUCUUUUGUAAGCAUGAAAGUUGUUUUUGUAUCUUGAAACAUGCAUGUCUAGUUUUCCUUUUUUAUCCAAUGCCAGGCUGCCAGCAAUCAUCUUCCUUUUACUAAGUUUUAUUUAAAUAAUACCAAGAGGAUCUGCUUGCAACUGUGGUUGUAUCAGCUGAGGUUGUAGAGGUGGUGGUAAUUGUAAUGGUACAAUUGGAUCUAUCAUCUGCACUGGGUUGAGAGGUGGAGGCUGAUGUGUCACAUUGUCAGAAGUUUCUAAAAUUUCUCCACUACAGAAGAAGAACUGGCACUGUUGAAUAAAUGUCUCUAUUACUGAUUGGAGAAUCUUGGUCGUUGAUAGAAACUCUCGGUUUUCAAAAUCAGGUCUCAUCAAAGUUGGCCAGAAACAGAUAGAUAAGUUAUCUGCAGUCAUAAAAUUGGUUCUAUUUUGCUGGCUAACCCUAAAAUGAGAAUAAAAAUGCUGAAGAGUUAAUAUUUGAUAAACAGUUUUUGAAGAUAAAAUAUAAGGUUGAAGAAGUCAAUCAUGUUACCAAAAGAAAGUAUUAAUUGCAACAGUAACUCUACUGCAGAGUUUACAAAGCAAAGACAUUGAGAUCUGGCCCACUGUUCUAACAUUUGAAGUUGAACAGGCAGCAUAUUGGGUUUGAUCCACAGAUGUGCAAGUAGAACUCUGCUCAGACAACAAGGUUUCUCACUUCACCCUCCUGCCUCAAAAAAGAGGUGCUCUUGAGAGUCAUGGAGCCCUUCAGAAUGGUAUGCAAUGGGGUGCAACAGUUACGAGAAGGAGAGGCACCUAGCAAACAGAAGCUUCACACUCAGGCAAAGGACAUUUUGGAUCAAAACUUAAGGCAUCUUUAUGUGAAAAAUCAGAUAUUAAGAUCUUUCUGUGUUACAGGAAAAGAGCUACAGGGUGAAUUCUUUUGAGCACCUUCAUCCUUGGAUAAAUUAAGAAAAGAAGAUUACUGAAUCCAUGAAGCAAAAGAAUUUCAAUCAAUUAAAAAGAUUUUUUUACAUGCAAUCGGAUCAAUAAUUCAAAAAUGGCAUAAUGCCCAAGAGAAGCAGAAGAUCUUUCUCAGAUUCAAAUUUACUUUGUAUGGUGAUUAUUCAAUAAAAUGAAUAAUGUUUUAAGUUGAGAUCCUACAAAUUUAAAACUAUUCUUUUAGUUUCAUUAUACAGACACAUCAAUAAAAAAAUUCGAUUACAUAUAUUUAAUUCCUUGAACUUUCGAAGUCUAAUUUAUGCAAAAUGACUUUGCCCGGUUAAUGAUGGACCUCACCUUCUAAGAACAUAAAAACAUAACAGCAGCCCUGUUGGAUCAGGCUAUUGGAUCCUAAAUUUCCUGGCAAUCAAUUUCAUGGGAUGACCCCUGGUCUUGGACACUGAACAUCAGAACGAUUUAAGCUCCAUCCCGGAAACCAUAAGAGGACGCUUUGGUGACUUCAACCAGGAACCUGCUAGCUAUCUAUUGUCCCUCUCUUUACCAAGCCAUCACAGGGUUUUUCUCCGAGCAAGAUAUGAUGCCUUACCAUCAGCAGUCUUAUCGGGAAGGUUUCUGAAAACCCCUCUGGCCAGUCAGUUAUGCCCCUGUGGCUCAGGUGAGGUCGAAUCUGUCCACCAUGUGCUGUGGUUUUGUCCUUUUUAUAAUGAUAGCCGGUGCAGUCCUAUUUCUCCCUUACUAUCACGCUUUCCCAGACGGACUGCUGAAUUUUACGCCAUACUCCUUCUGCCACCUACAAGGUUGCCAAAUUUUGUGCAGCUGCUGUUAAGAUCCAUCAACAGCUAACCUCUAGUCCUCCUUUUUAGAAGUUGUUACAUAAGGCUUCUAUAUUGGUGUAUUCUGUAUGAUUUACUUCUUACCUGAAUGCAGUAUCAUCUGUUUGUAUAUAUAA
This is a long non-coding RNA of Hemicordylus capensis (graceful crag lizard), 6838 nucleotides long. RefSeq lists it as uncharacterized. The transcript is spliced from 5 exons. The record is from RefSeq and is a predicted model, not a curated record. Lineage: Eukaryota; Metazoa; Chordata; Lepidosauria; Squamata; Cordylidae.